GAUAAGAUGGCUGAAGAAAGGCAAUAAAUUGUAAAUUUAUUUAUGAGUAAUACUCUUUUAUCA
This 63-nucleotide transfer RNA is filed under the name Stenischia humilis. Its description in RNAcentral is "tRNA-Tyr". It matches the Rfam family "tRNA". Rfam says of the family: Transfer RNA (tRNA) molecules are approximately 80 nucleotides in length. Their secondary structure includes four short double-helical elements and three loops (D, anti-codon, and T loops). Further hydrogen bonds mediate the characteristic L-shaped molecular structure. tRNAs have two regions of fundamental functional importance: the anti-codon, which is responsible for specific mRNA codon recognition, and the 3' end, to which the tRNAs corresponding amino acid is attached (by aminoacyl-tRNA synthetases). tRNAs cope with the degeneracy of the genetic code in two manners: having more than one tRNA (with a specific anti-codon) for a particular amino acid; and 'wobble' base-pairing, i.e. permitting non-standard base-pairing at the 3rd anti-codon position. The record is from RNAcentral. Lineage: Eukaryota; Metazoa; Arthropoda; Insecta; Siphonaptera; Hystrichopsyllidae.